This 253-nucleotide ribosomal RNA is filed under the name uncultured bacterium. RNAcentral describes it as "partial 16S ribosomal RNA". It matches the Rfam family "Bacterial small subunit ribosomal RNA", at positions 15 to 263 of the family's 1533-position model. The record is from RNAcentral.
GAUCAUGGCUCAGGACGAACGCUGGCGGCGCGCCUAACACAUGCAAGUCGAACGGAGCUUAAAGAGCUUGCUUUUUAAGCUUAGUGGCGAACGGGUGAGUAACGCGUGAGUAACCUGCCCUGGAGUGGGGGACAACAGUUGGAAACGACUGCUAAUACCGCAUAAGCCCACGGCCCGGCAUCGGGCUGCGGGAAAAGGAUUUAUUCGCUUCAGGAUGGACUCGCGUCCAAUUAGCUAGUUGGUGAGGUAACGG